This 477-nucleotide ribosomal RNA is filed under the name uncultured bacterium. Its description in RNAcentral is "partial 16S ribosomal RNA". It matches the Rfam family "Bacterial small subunit ribosomal RNA", at positions 30 to 507 of the family's 1533-position model. The record is from RNAcentral.
AUUGAACGCUGGCGGCAUGCCUUACACAUGCAAGUCGAACGGUAACAGGUUAAGCUGACGAGUGGCGAACGGGUGAGUAAUGUAUCGGAACGUGCCCAGUCGUGGGGGAUAACUGCUCGAAAGAGCAGCUAAUACCGCAUACGACCUGAGGGUGAAAGCGGGGGAUCGCAAGACCUCGCGCGAUUGGAGCGGCCGACAUAAGAUUAGGUAGUUGGUGAGGUAAAGGCUCACCAAGCCAACGAUCUGUAGCCGGUCUGAGAGGGUGAUGGGCCACACUGGAACUGAGACACGGUCCAGACUCCUACGGGAGGCAGCAGUAGGGAAUCUUCCGCAAUGGGCGAAAGCCUGACGGAGCCACGCCGCGUGAGUGAUGAAGGUCUUCGGAUCGUAAAACGCUGUUAUUAGGGAAGAACAAAUGUGUAAGUAACUAUGCACGUCUUGACGGUACCUAAUCAGAAAGCCACGGCUAACUACGUG